UACGUAGGUGGCAAGCGUUGUCCGGAAUUAUUGGGCGUAAAGCGCGCGCAGGCGGUCCUUUAAGUCUGAUGUGAAAGCCCACGGCUCAACCGUGGAGGGUCAUUGGAAACUGGGGGACUUGAGUGCAGGAGAGAAGAGUGGAAUUCCACGUGUAGCGGUGAAAUGCGUAGAGAUGUGGAGGAACACCAGUGGCGAAGGCGACGCUCUGGGCCGGAACUGACGCUGAGGAGCGAAAGCGUGGGUAGCAAACAGG
Molecule: ribosomal RNA, 253 nt
Filed under: uncultured bacterium
Lineage: Bacteria
Description: partial 16S ribosomal RNA
Rfam family: Bacterial small subunit ribosomal RNA
Source: RNAcentral